GACGAACGCUGGCGGCGUGCCUAAUACAUGCAAGUUGAGCGAUGAAGAUUGGUGCUUGCACCAAUUUGCAGAGCAGCGAACGGGUGGGUAACGCGUGGGGAAUCUGCCUUUGAGCGGGGGACAACAUUUGGAAACGAAUGCUAAUACCGCAUAACAACUUUAAACAUAAGUUUUAAGUUUGAAAGAUGCAAUUGCAUCACUCAAAGAUGAUCCCGCGUUGUAUUAGCUAGUUGGUGAGGUAAAGGCUCACCAAGGCGAUGAUACAUAGCCGACCUGAGAGGGUGAUCGGCCACAUUGGGACUGAGACACGGCCCAAACUCCUACGGGAGGCAGCAGUAGGGAAUCUUCGGCAAUGGACGAAAGUCUGACCGAGCAACGCCGCGUGAGUGAAGAAGGUUUUCGGAUCGUAAAACUCUGUUGGUAGAGAAGAACGUUGGUGAGAGUGGAAAGCUCAUCAAGUGACGGUAACUACACAGAAAGGGACGGCUAACUACGUG
Molecule: ribosomal RNA, 497 nt
Filed under: uncultured bacterium
Lineage: Bacteria
Description: partial 16S ribosomal RNA
Rfam family: Bacterial small subunit ribosomal RNA
Source: RNAcentral